This 235-nucleotide ribosomal RNA is filed under the name uncultured bacterium. RNAcentral's name for it is "partial 16S ribosomal RNA". It matches the Rfam family "Bacterial small subunit ribosomal RNA", at positions 102 to 334 of the family's 1533-position model. The record is from RNAcentral.
CCGACGGGUGAGUAACACGUAUCCAACCUGCCGUCUACUCUUGGCCAGCCUUCUGAAGGAAGAUAAUCCAGGAUGGCAUCAUGAGUUCACAUGUCCGCAUGAUUAAAGGUAUUUUCCGGUAGACGAUGGGGAUGCGUUCCAUUAGAUAGUAGGCGGGGUAACGGCCCACCUAGUCAACGAUGGAUAGGGGUUCUGAGAGGAAGGUCCCCCACAUUGGAACUGAGACACGGUCCAA